This 230-nucleotide long non-coding RNA is filed under the name Mytilus galloprovincialis (Mediterranean mussel). Lineage: Eukaryota; Metazoa; Mollusca; Bivalvia; Mytilida; Mytilidae. The record is from RNAcentral.
CCAGUUUUCAAUUUCUUGUUGGUUGGCAUUGAAAUUUCCACAUAUAUCAUCUACAACGAAUACUGUUUGCUUACCAUGCUUAUAAUAUGUAUUGAUAUCAUCUGGCUUUCUUAUUGGUAUUAUUUGGUAUCCUUCCUCCUGUAAUAGCAAUGCUGUAUGUCUAGCAAUGAAAGUUUUUCCAACUCCGGCACAGCCAGUCAAGGUCACACAAUUGUUAUCUUUUAAGCUUA